Molecule: long non-coding RNA, 2231 nt
Organism: Rosa rugosa (rugosa rose)
Lineage: Eukaryota; Viridiplantae; Streptophyta; Magnoliopsida; Rosales; Rosaceae
Exons: 7
Source: RefSeq, a predicted model, not a curated record
CCGAAAAAAAAGCUAUUCUCUCUCACCUCAAUCCCAAAAACAGCCGCAGACCUCAUUAUUCAUCCUUCUUCCCCCAAGACAUACAACACCAGCCGCACAGCCCAGAUCCAUUUUUCUCUUUCUUCUCACUCACCUGCCGCAACCCCAUUUCAGCCUUCCUUCUUCUCUCUAACAUUUCUCUCUAACACCGAACCACCCACCUCCAACCCAUUUUCUAUAUUUUCUUCACUAUUCCACCACAAAACUUCAUCAAUUCCACAAGAUUCAAAUAGGAGCCCAAGCAUCAAGAGCUUCAUAAACAUCAAAUUUGGGUAAAAGUGGGAGCCAUAAAUCAAGGCUAGUCAUAAUUGCUCUAUAGCAAUUUGUGGCUUGUUCUUGUUACUCUCUACUUCUCUUCACUUUUUUCUCUUUCAAUUAUGUAUUUUGAUGUUAGUUUGGUGAUGGGUAGUGAGUAGUUUUGUUGUUGGGGGCUAGGGUUGUGUGCCCUAGUCCAAAUCUUGUGUAAAAGAUGCUUAUUUUAAUGUAAUGAUGCAAUUUUCAUAUGAUGGAUGCUUAUAUCUAUUUUUGUUGGGUUAAAAUGCAUGUUUAGGGGCCUAGUCAACUCUAGGGUGUGUAUUUUGAGCAUGUCUAGGAUGGAGUUAGAGGCUUGACCCCCCUCUAAUUCCUAAGCUAGAAACCUUCAAUUUUGUAUUCGAGGGGUUAUAAGCAUGGUGAUUUACACCCGUUGCGUGAAUGCGCGGGCGGGUCGCUUACACUACUAAAAAAAACUUCAAUUGCUUCGCCUUUUUACUUCGGCGACAGUUGCCGUCGCAAUUGACACCCUAUUGCUACGGAAAAUGUUCCGUCGCGAUUAAGGCUUAUCAUUUGCGACGGAAAAUCUUUGCCGUAGUAAAUUUGUAGUCAAUUGCGACGCCGUUUCCUCUUGCCGUCGCAAAACUUAUUUAUAUAUGUACUUUACAAAAAAAAAAAAAAAAAAAAAAUUACGGAAAGAAAGCCGUGGCAACACAUAAACGUCACCGUAUUACUCUGGCGGUAACCCAAAUAAUUUUCCCUCCGUUUUUUCUUUUGUUUUUUUGGCCAAAUGUCCUACUAACAAAACACUCAGCCCUAAUUCUUUUUCCCUCUUUUUCCCAAGGUCUCAAACAUCACCGCGCUCUUUCUCACUCUCGCCCAAACAUCACCCUCUUUCUGAGCUCCGGAACCUCACCGUUCCCGUCGUUCUAAACAUUCUGAUAACCGAAUCUUCUUCUUACCAUCAGCUUACAGCUCCUCGAACGGGAACCUACCGAGGUAUUUGGGCAAUGGCGUGCAGGCCUACUUCUCCUAUCGAGUAAUCAUCAAGCAGCAGGGUCUCUAGUUUUAAAUCGGUUUCUUUUUCCAUUACUAGGAAUCGCUUCCCAUCUCUGACUUCAAGACCUGGACUCUUUCAAGUUUCCUAUUCGUUUAAAACAUCCAUUAGUUAAAAAGGCUGCUCAUCUUCAAGUCAGCAGUGAAGAAUUUGGAAUUAAUUUUGGCAAUCCAAAGCCAAGAGCUUGAUAUUACCAGAAAACUUGCAUCUCACUAUGGAUAAGAGUUGGAUAAACUUAGGCAACAGAUGGUCAAAGAGGGUAGUGUUAAAGAUCGAAUUUUCCACUCUUUGAUGGGAGAUGAUGGUCAUGGGUAUUGUCGUACUUUUGGAGCUGGUGUGCCUCGUAAUCUAGUAUAUCCAAAGGAAUCAAAUAUAUCUCAAAGCACAGAUGAUCUCGUACAAAAAAUCACUGAACAAGUGCGUCAAGAGUUUCAACUGCAGCUUCAGCAACUACAUGCUCGAAUUGAUUUUCUGCAGAAUAAGGACAGUAGCACAUAGUCUCCUAAACAGGUUGCUGAUGCAACUAGCAGGCAUGAAAUUUUGAGGGAGUCUAUAGGAGAUGAAAUAACUCCGAAUGCAAAUAGUGACCAGCCAUUGUUGGAGCAGAAUUCUCCAGUAACAUCCCCUUCACAAAAUGGAUCUGAAAGGGUUCUCAUGGCAAAAAGAGCAAAGCAAAUGAAAGCAAGUGCAAAGCUCACAAAAUGACAAAGUAAAAUGAUGCACUUGUGAUUGUUGUUUUAUUUUAAGAGUGCUUAUUAUAAUGUUCAAUACUUACAAAUGACAUUAUUUUCACUUUAGUAUUUGUAUUUGAAUAUGGUACAAUGAGUCAAUGGAUAUGUUUAAGUAUAUUAUUCAUGAAUUAAUGUUAUUUUGAUUUAAUAGA